Molecule: transfer RNA, 86 nt
Filed under: Bacilli bacterium
Lineage: Bacteria; Bacillati; Bacillota; Bacilli
Also listed under: 2 other names
Description: tRNA-Leu
Rfam family: tRNA
About the family: Transfer RNA (tRNA) molecules are approximately 80 nucleotides in length. Their secondary structure includes four short double-helical elements and three loops (D, anti-codon, and T loops).
Source: RNAcentral
GCCACUGUGUUGAAAUCGGUAGACAAACUUGACUCAAAAUCAAGCGCUUAGUAGGCGUGCCAGUUCGAAUCUGGCCAGUGGCACCA